GAUGAACGCUGGCGGCGUGCCUAAUACAUGCAAGUCGAACGAACGGACGAGAAUUUUGCUGCUCUGUUGUGAGCCGCGGGCGGGGGAGUAACACGUGAAUCAUCUACCUAUAAGACUGAAAUAACUUCGAAAAACGGGAGCUUAUACCGUAUAAUAUUUUGAACCGCAGGGUGCAAAGGUGAGAGACGGUCUUUCGGUCACUUAUAGAGGGAUACCCGCUGGAUUAGCUAGUUGUUCCGGUAACAGCUUACCAAGGCAACGAGGCAUAGACGACGUGAGAGGGUGAUAGGCCGCACUGGAACGUAGACACGGUCAAGAGGCCUACGGGAGGGAGCAGUCGGGAAUCUGACGCAAAGGGCGAUAGUCUGACGGAGUAAGGCCGCGUGAGUGAUGACGGUCUUCGGAUCGUAAAAAUGUGUUAUUAGGGAAGAACAUAUGUGUCAGUAGAUGUGGACAGCUUGACGGUACCGAAUAAGAAAGCCCCGGCUAACUACGUG
This 497-nucleotide ribosomal RNA is filed under the name uncultured bacterium. RNAcentral's name for it is "partial 16S ribosomal RNA". It matches the Rfam family "Bacterial small subunit ribosomal RNA", at positions 28 to 507 of the family's 1533-position model. The record is from RNAcentral.